RNAcentral lists this ribosomal RNA (483 nucleotides) under uncultured bacterium. RNAcentral describes it as "partial 16S ribosomal RNA". It matches the Rfam family "Bacterial small subunit ribosomal RNA", at positions 28 to 523 of the family's 1533-position model. The record is from RNAcentral.
GAUGAACGCUGGCGGCGUGCCUAAUACAUGCAAGUCGAGCGAACCACUUCGGUGGUGAGCGGCGAACGGGUGAGUAACACGUAGGUGAUCUGCCCAUCAGACGGGGACAACGAUUGGAAACGAUCGCUAAUACCGGAUAGGACGAAAGUUUAAAGGUGCUUCUGGCACCGCUGAUGGAUGAGCCUGCGGCGCAUUAGCUAGUUGGUAGGGUAAAGGCCUACCAAGGCGACGAUGCGUAGCCGACCUGAGAGGGUGAACGGCCACACUGGGACUGAGACACGGCCCAGACUCCUACGGGAGGCAGAAGUAGGGAAUCUUCGGCAAUGGGCGAAAGCCUGACCGAGCAACGCCGCGUGAAUGAUGAAGGCCUUCGGGUUGUAAAAUUCUGUUAUAAGGGAAGAACGACUUUAGUAGGAAAUGGCUAGAGUGUGACGGUACCUUAUGGGAAAGCCACGGCUAACUACGUGCCAGCAGCCGCCGUAA